Molecule: long non-coding RNA, 570 nt
Filed under: Musa acuminata (dwarf banana)
Lineage: Eukaryota; Viridiplantae; Streptophyta; Magnoliopsida; Zingiberales; Musaceae
Description: long non-coding RNA (MACU_LNC006461)
Source: RNAcentral
GGAAUUGAAAUAAAAUCGGCAGUUAUCUGUAUUUUUUGUGGUAUGUUGGGAUGUGGUGGAGUUACUUAUUAUAUUGGUGUAAAUGAUGGCAGAUGGAGCAAAGGUUUCAAAGUUGUUAGAUGGUUCUUCUGAGUUUUCUCUUACUUAUGAAGACAAGGAUGGGGACUGGAUGCUGGUUGGAGAUGUGCCUCGAACUGUAUGCCUUCUUCACAGUACAGACUGAUAUUGAUACCUGUCUAUCGGUAUACCUAAACGCAAGAAAUCAUUCAUGGAUGACUACUUUGGUCAGGGAACCUAUUUCUCCUGGAGAACGAUAUCAUGGUGUUUCGAUCAUCAUUAGAAUACAUUUAUUAACAUAGAUCAAUUGUACUCUGGUUAUAGUGCAUGCAUUCAAUUUUGUUGCAAUCUUAUGGUUUUUCUGGUGAUCUUGUCCUUAGUUUUUUCUCAUUGUCAAAGACUUGUUCUGUUUUGUAGUUUGCUGAUUCAGUCUAACUUACAGAAUGGUUUUGGAAACAGUGAAGAGACUUAGAAUUAUGAGGAAGCAAAUGGGCUGUCAGUCUGUUCAUUUUG